UUCCUUAUGUGUGUCGGUCCAUGAUGCCGUUUUUAAGAAUGAGUUUUUUACUAUCGCUGCACAUGAUGUACAUUGUUAGUAUUACAGGAUUUAGCCCUGAAUUAAAAGCUUUACGUUUAACCUACAUUGAUGGUUGCCAGUUACACGUAAACUGGUCCUCCUCUUCUGAUGACUCCUGUUCUGAUGUACUAGUUUACAAUGAUGCGACCAACACCUCACAGACGUAUAAUGCUUCAGACGAACACACACACGUCACACAUCCCGUGGAUUCGGCCAGUAAUCUGGAUGUGAUUUUUAGAGAAGGUUGUCAUGGUAACCUAACCACGUUCAACAGCACAAUCACUGAAAGGAAAUCUACAUUUCCAGACUUGGGACCAUUACCUGACGUCACUAAGGUGAAUAAAUCGGAUAACAUUGAGCUAAGAUGCACGACAAGGGGGGCUAUGAUCAAAUUUCGCACGGUCUGGCACAAAACUGGGUCUGAGAUUUCCCUUUCCAACAAAACAGCUCUCUACCUUCGAAACGUCACCUAUACGGACACCGGAAGUUAUGUCUGCUUUGUGCACUAUCAAUCGUGUAAUGCCAACAACAUUUCGAAUACCAAGAAUAAUCUAACGAAAACAACUUACGUAGAUGUCCAAGGUCCGCCACUUUUUAUCCUUCCAACGGAGAAAAAAUCCUACCAAGUAGCAGAGGGACAACCUAUUAUGUUCCACAUCACAAUAGCAAGUUCUCCCUCUCCCGAGCAAUCUCUUGUCCUAUGGAAGUCAGAUAGUAAUAAGUCAUUUAGGAUUGGUGUUGAUUUCAACAGAAAGAAAGCACCUCUCUCUGAAGCAAAAGAUAUUUCUGGCGAGAUGCCGGUAUACACGGCAUACGUAAGACUAACCAACAUCACAUCGUCAUGGACUGGAACCUACAUUCUGUACAUCAACAACUCUCGUGGAUACGACACUUAUGAGUUCUCAAUAAACGUUCAUUACCCACCAAAAGUUUCGAUCUGGCAGUCCCGCUCCUUGGAGAUAGUAGGCGGGGGCAUUGGUGGUUUGGUAUUUUUGGCGAUAGUUGUGGGAAUCAUCGUCAUGUGCCACACGAGACACAAACAAAAAAAGGUCAUACAAGAAAAUAUCAAAGAAUUGGUCGAGGCUAAGAAUAAAGAAAGGAAGGAUGCUCUGGGAGUUUGGGAUUUAGGGACAAGACCUGAAAGCAGUUCGUGUUUUAUUUGGAGCAUGCCGCCAUUUAUUGUUAAACGUUGUAGCUCACCCGAAUCGAAGGCUAAACUUAAUAGCGCUUUUUUUUUUUUUAAUUUGUCUGACGUUUGUUCACUCGUAUCCUCGAGGACCACUGUGUCAAUUUCAACUAAACAUCCUUUGGGUAAUCGGGAUUCAAGUUUGUUAAAAUUAAAUUAGGAUAGAGUGUUGGGAUGGGGGUGUUUUUAAACCUUUUCAAUGACCACUUCAGUAAAGGAGAAAAGGUUGCAUGAAAGUCUUAUGAUGUGGUGAUUAAACUUUAGUCAACUCAUGAUUCCAAGGGUCAGAGUAGGUCAAAAUAGACCACAACACUAUAUGAAAUCCAAAAAAUUAAAAUAGAACAAUUCUCAAGAACCAUAAAACAACAAUUUGUCAAAUUAACACACCCACAUAUAAGAGAGUUCUGCAAGUUCAAAAUCAUCUUCAGAAAUCAGAUUCAAGCUUGUUCCCAUCAUGGAGGCAUGUGUGCUAGUUUUACAAGGGGAAAAUGCCCAGGCAACCCACGGUCUGUUUUAUAAUACAUAAUCAAAACUCGAAAAUUAUUAAGUAUAUUUGGAAAUCAAAAUAACUAGGACGUCAAAAUGUUUUUGAACACAGUAUUUAUAAAAAUCAAUAUUUACUUCUGUGUAAUUUACAUGUUUUUUUGUAACAUUUCAGAAUUUGAUUUCACAAAUGAACAACACCGUCAGCUUCAAAGUACAAAUACAUUCAAUGAUGUGGAAGAUGCAAUCUGAAAAGCAACAUCUCCGGGCGUUUCAUCACAUCCCCACAGUAGAAACAACUGACGCAAUCAAGGAUGGACAAGGAGCAAGAUUAAUUUGGACAAAAUUUGACACUUGUGCUUCAUUCAGACUCCAUUUUCCUGUUCUGAAAUUUAAUGCCCUCUUUAGAUAUUGAAGCUCAUAUGGCAUCAGGAUGUUCUAUCACAUCCUCACAGUAGAAACAACUGAAGCCAUCAAGGAUGGACUAGGAUCAAUUUGUGGACAAAAUUUGACAGUGCUUCCUUUGGACUCCAUUUCCAAAAUUGCUCUGGAUUUUAUGACCUCUUUUUGAGAUUGAAGCUCAGAUGGCAUAUAGUUUCUAAUUUAUCUGUCUGUCUGCCUACAACUAGAUUGACCUUGGUUAUAAAUUUCAAACUUUACAACAUAGAAACUUCAUAUUUGGUGAAGUUUGAGGUCAAAGUAAGAAGUACCUGUAUCCGACUGAUGUCAAGGUCAUUUAUCAAGUUCAAAUAUACCACAGAAAGAGUGUGGCCAUGCCCGUGGACAGUGUUUUACAAACAAGUUUUUCUUCUUUCUGGAUUGAUGCAAUAGCAAAAUACAAUGAUUCCAUACUAAAUGAGUGUACAGUUUUAUUUAUAAAAUGAUAAAGUCACAGUUUUAAUUAUUACAUGAAGUCACAAUACAAGCUAGAAAGGUUCAAAAGCUUUCUUACUACAAGAAGUGAGAGGGGAAACUUUGUUUUCUGACAGAGAAGAACAGAAAAGACAGGAAAAAAGAUCACUUUCGAAAAAUUAUGCUUGUACACUCAUGAAAUUUUGAAGCUUGACAAUCAUAAUCUCUUCCACAUAGUAAGGAGAUAAUUUCUAGAAACGAGACAAAGGCAAUCUGUUCUCUACAAAAUACCUCCAUUGUUUCACAAUAAAGCAAUGUGAUUACAGCAGCAGUUUGUACUAAAAGAAAGAGACUAUAACAUCAAUCAGAAUCCCAAACUGAUACACAGUAUGCCAAAGCAAGCUCGAUACACUCAAAUGGCAAAUGCAGUAUAUAAUACUUGUACAAUGUACAUAAUGUGAUAAAUUGCAUUAUCAAGCUAUAAAUUUGUCUUUGGUUUUAAAAUUGAUUUUUUCCUAGACAUUCAUUACCUUAAAACACGUCUGCUAAUAUCUGCGUUCUUUUUAAAUUUAUCUUUUGAAAAUUAUGGUAUCGAUAUUCAUGUCAUAAUAGAUUUUGUAAAGUUAGAAUUUUACUACAUCAGCUAAUCACAACCAUAAAAUCAUAAUGUUAAAGUUGAUGCCUCACUACGAAUUUAAAAAACUGCAGAUAUGACAAAAAAUUAUUUCACAACAACAGCACAUAAAAAUGUUCAAAGAUGCAUAUUAUGAAACUCAUGUCAUUUCAUGGAAACAUGUUAAAAAAUGUAAAACAAUAUAAACACUGUCAGUUAAAAAAACAGAAUAUAGACACAGUUCCAAUAAUUAAACCAAAUCAUGCAUUAGCAAGAAAUUUUCAUUUCCUAUACCAUCCCUAUAAUUUCUUUACUACCCACCCAAAUGAAAUUCCCCCC
This is an RNA transcript of Ostrea edulis (European flat oyster), 3533 nucleotides long. RefSeq lists it as uncharacterized. The transcript has 8 exons. The record is from RefSeq and is a predicted model, not a curated record. NCBI's taxonomy places the organism in Eukaryota, Metazoa, Mollusca, Bivalvia, Ostreida, Ostreidae.